CCUACGGGUGGCAGCAGUGAGGAAUAUUGGUCAAUGGGCUUACGCCUGAACCAGCCAAGUCGCGUUAGGGAAGACUGCCCUCUGGGUUGUAAACCUCUUUUGUCAGGGCGCAACGCCGGCUACGUGUAGCCUAACUGAGAGUACCUGAAGAAACAGCAUCGGAUAACUCCGUGACAGCAUCCACGUUAAUACGUAGAAUGCGAGCGGUAGCCGUAUUUAUUGGGUUUAAAGGGUGCGUAGGCGGGAUGCCAAUUAAGCGGUAAAAUCGAGGGGCUCAAACUCGCUCCGACGUUGAAACUGGCGAUCUUGAGUGUGCGAGAAGUAAGCGGAAUGCGUGGUGUAGCGGUGAAAUGCAGAGAUAUCAGGAAGAACUCCGAUUGCGAAGGCAGCAUACCGGCGCCAAACUGACGCUGAAGCACGAAAGCGUGGGUAUCGAACAGGAUUAGAUACCCCAGUAGUC
RNAcentral lists this ribosomal RNA (460 nucleotides) under uncultured bacterium. RNAcentral's name for it is "partial 16S ribosomal RNA". It matches the Rfam family "Bacterial small subunit ribosomal RNA", at positions 338 to 795 of the family's 1533-position model. The record is from RNAcentral.